UAUACUGGCUGCACUCUUGGGUUUUUUUUUAACUGCUUGCUUAGCAUACAAGUGGUGCAGCUGGAAUGCUGCUCACUGUCACCCUGGUAGGCAGACAGGUACCCUGGCUGCAGAAAAUAAAAAGUUUGGUGUGUCUGCUUGCUGUGAGGUGGCUUCACUGCAUGUUGGGACCUGCAUGGUCUGUAGGACACACCGCCUUUGUGUUGAUGCCAAGGGUGGCAAUAUGGUCCAUCUCAUGUAAAUGGGAGACAGCCCUUGGGCUCCUGGCAGGCUGCCAGCUCUCUUAUGAAGAUAAUAUCACUGUGAUAUUCUGCAGGGAUCAAUUAAAAUGCUGCAGCCACUUCAAGCACGUGGGAUCCCCUAACCCAGAAUUCUUAAGUACAGCAAAGAUUUAUGUAGUUAUCGUAGCCACAUGCACGGAUGCAUAGAAGAGCUGGAGCUGGAGUUACUGUCAGUAGCUUCUAACUGAAAGCUCUAAAAAUGAGAAGAUGAAUACAAUACACAGAAUUGGAUUUUAAAUAUACUCUCCAACAGGUCAGAGUAUAUUUAAAAUCCAAUGUUUCCAUCGCUGACAAAAGAGAACAGUCCUGCAAAUCUAUCUAGCUCACUACAGUUUUCUGCUAGUUCAUGUACAAUAUUGGCAGAUUAAUAAUUUCUUUAUGCUUUUUCUCCAGGAGAAGCCAUAAUUUUCUCUAAUACCAUAGUGGGUUUUUGUGGAAAUUAGCAUACUACAAAAUGAGAAUGGCAAAUAACUCCAUUUCCAAAUGCUAUGUUCAGCAGCCAGAUUUAUUAGUGGAUUUGGCAGCAUUUGCCAACUCCUUUGCACAUGAAUAACUCCACUCACAUUGUUUAAACAAAUGAAACUAGGAUAAAUGAGAUUAAUUUGCCAAUAGCAAAUUACAUUCUAUUUUAAAAUAAGAAUUAGCCUGUACCAAACCCACAUGCUUUUGUUUAUUUCCCAUAUAAUUUAUGCACAAGAACACUAUAGCAGAUUAUCUGAGAUUAUAGGCUUCAGUGCACUUAAGUAGAAGAAAAUUGGAGGAGUGUCCUGCAACAGGGGUACCUUUCCAAGAACCUGGGGGUCACAGAAGGACCUGACACAAGGAGAUAAAGCAACCCUGAACCUCUUACAGAGCUCAUGCCACUCUGAGGAGAAAACAGUUGGCUUAGUCAACACUCCCAGAUCAGACUGAGGGAGCAUAAAGCUGGAUUAACCUACCCUUGCAGAUAUUGCUACAUAUGUAGUCAUAGAUGGGGGCACUGGUUACUCUACCCAGGAGAAGGCAGAGUCUGCUGUAAACACCACACGACACCUUAACAAAUUGUCUGUCAUAUUGUUUCGUUUGUCUGUCACAUUUUCAAACUGGUCUGUUCCCAAUCAUGGCAUUCCUCAAUUUUCUAUAUAAAGUUGAUGUAACUAUGGCAUUCCAGCUAUCACUGAUGGAAAGUGAAAUUUUUUUAUUAAUACAACUUUGUGCUUCUGUGCCACAAAUACUCUUAAAAAUGUUCCCUAUACCCUCCCUAAGCUUGGCAUAUGUCUUUUCUUUUAAGAAGUCAUGAUCCCUCUUCAUUUCCCCAUGGCUGUUUCUGCUUCCUCCACUGAACACUUCUUUUCCACUUGCCAUAUUCCUCUCUAAAUCACCUCCAUUUAUCUAUCGCUCUCCCUCAUAUACCUUUCUUUAACAUAUAUUCAUUCCAUUUGUCCUACAGGUGUUUUCAGACUUUUGCUGUUUCUUCCCUUCCCCACUUCUCCGAAGGGUUUUUUUGUUCACAUUUGUCCAUCAGGACUUCUCCUCCCACUCUGUUUUCUGUCCCAUCACCCUUGUGGACUGUGUGAUAGGUACUCCCUCCCUGAAGUGCAGAGCCUUCAAGAUGGAAUCUAAUGCCAGUGGUGGCAGAGGGACCAUGAAGGAUGCCUUCUCUCCUUGGGCCUUCACCUGGGAAGAGAUACUUGGAGUAUGAAAUAAGAAAAUAACAUGAAAUAACCCAUGGUGUCACCUCCUUACUUGGAGGUGGCACCAUGGGUUAGACCACCCUUCCAGCAGGGCUGGCAAGACUUGGAGACAAAUGAUGACUUCCCCUGAUAAAGUCCACUAACUUGGAGGUGGGCUGAAAGCAUCUUUCUCUUAAAAAAACCCCAGAACUUUCAAAAAGGCAGGAGCUCUGCUGUUGAUGUCAUGGAGGGACCAAGGCGCAGCAAUCCUUGUAUAACGAAGGCAAAACCAUUUCCCCUGUUCAUGUUUUUAAUACCCAUGAAAAUAAAUUUGCUAUGUGUAAUGUUGCAAA
Haemorhous mexicanus (house finch) is the source of this 2286-nucleotide long non-coding RNA. RefSeq lists it as uncharacterized. NCBI's taxonomy places the organism in Eukaryota, Metazoa, Chordata, Aves, Passeriformes, Fringillidae. The record is from RefSeq and is a predicted model, not a curated record. The transcript is spliced from 3 exons.